UACGUAGGGUGCGAGCGUUAAUCGGAAUUACUGGGCGUAAAGGGUGCGCAGGCGGCUUGCUAAGACAGGUGUGAAAGCCCCGAGCUUAACUUGGGAAUGGCGCUUGUGACUGGCAGGCUGGAGUGUGGCAGAGGGAGGUGGAAUUCCACGUGUAGCGGUGAAAUGCGCAGAUAUCAGGAGGAACACCGGUGGCGAAGGCGGGUCUCUGGGCCGUAACUGACGCUGAGGAGCGAAAGCGUGGGGAGCGAACAGG
This 253-nucleotide ribosomal RNA is filed under the name uncultured bacterium. Its description in RNAcentral is "partial 16S ribosomal RNA". It matches the Rfam family "Bacterial small subunit ribosomal RNA", at positions 524 to 776 of the family's 1533-position model. The record is from RNAcentral.